CCGGUCUCCUCCCGCCCCGCCGGUGCCUGGGGGCGGCGGGGAGGGCGGUCGGGCCGCUGCUCCGGCAGCCCGCGCGGGGGAGCCGGCCUUCCCCCUCCCCGGCCGCAGUACCGCCGUCGGCACCCGGGAAAGCAAAUUCCAUUAUUGCAGACAAUUUCGGGGAACCUGCUGUCAGUGCUGUGACUUUUGCAUUUGUGCCCCCUUCUGGUCCCCGUGAACGAGCUUCCACACGCCCGGGACUGCAAUUUUACAGCGCUUCCUCUCCUGACCAGGCGCAACAGCGCAGCCCUGCACUCAAAAAGGAGGUGAGAAGGACCCAGGCACAUCCGUGACUUUCUGCAUUAAGGAGGAGCAGAACUGGGACCCCUCCAUGAGGGAAGGU
Molecule: long non-coding RNA, 382 nt
Organism: Harpia harpyja (harpy eagle)
Lineage: Eukaryota; Metazoa; Chordata; Aves; Accipitriformes; Accipitridae
Exons: 3
Source: RefSeq, a predicted model, not a curated record